Molecule: long non-coding RNA, 1352 nt
Organism: Pectinophora gossypiella (pink bollworm)
Lineage: Eukaryota; Metazoa; Arthropoda; Insecta; Lepidoptera; Gelechiidae
Exons: 4
Source: RefSeq, a predicted model, not a curated record
UACCUGACCACAAAACGUCAAAAUGACAGUAUGUGUGCAAACAUUUAACUGAUUCUGCGUUUUUACUCUAAAUAAAUACUUAUUAGUGUUUCUUAGCUUCCAAGUACAUUUUUUUUGGACAAAAUCAAUAGCGUAAUAAUAACAAUGCCAGUAUGUAGUGUUUUAGCGUGUGAAAACAGAACAUAUCGAAGCAGUCCGGGUACAUCCUAUCACAGGUUUCCACUUCAAGAACGUGAACGCACUGAUUGGGUUAAAGCAUGUGGAAGAACAAACUGGGAACCGCCUAAAAGUUCUGUAAUAUGCUCUAAGCAUUUUGAUGACAACUUCUUUAUUAAACAUGGAGAUAGAACAAGUCCCAACCAAGUUCUGUCAUUUGGAAAAUGUUUCUGUACCAAGUUGUUCACCAUCCUCAAUGCAACAUAGUGAAGUUGCCGGCAUCCCUGCCAACUAUAUUUAGAAGCAGGAAAAUCCAACUAAGCGAGGCAAAAGAACAUGAUUACACAGAUACGCCUCGGAAGAAAAAGUUAAAGCUUAUGCUUGAAAGAAAAAGGGUUUUGUCAGAAACUCGAUUGAAAAAACUACGUGCUGCAAGACAAGCGAACCGGCGUUUAGUAAAAAAAAAUGCUGAACUGUCUGACGUUAUUGCUGAACUGCGGCUAAACUUUAAAUUUUGAAAAACAGAUCAACUCUUCUCUUUCAUUUUUAAGAGAUGAUGCGUUAAUAGAAGAAGCUUUCGAAUCCGAGGAACUUGAUUUUUCAGUAGACCAUGACUAUCUGCCAGAUCCAUCCCGUUUAACAGAAUAUACAAAACAUGUAGUGGUAUAUAUUGCGGGCUUUGUUGUUACCAAAGUGUCCAAAAUAGUAAAGUGUCACGAUUGCUUAAGUAGCAUAGUGGAGAUGUCAAAUUUAAACUUGUUAUUAAUUUCCAAAAAAGACAAAGGCGGUUUGCGAUAUCCUUCUGCUGAUGUAAUAAAUUUAUGUGAAAUUGCUGAAAGAAUUUUUAGACAAAAUGUCAUACGGUUAGGUUUAAAAAUACUGUCAACAAAAAAAUAUUUUAAUGCUUUUAAUCAGGAAAUGUAUACAACUAAGCCCAAUUAAAGAUUUUUUUUAAUUUCACGGCAACCGGUUUGACCAUUCUCCUUUAGAAAGCCAUGAAAUGCUUUUAAUGAAAGCCAUAAUUAUGAAUUAUUUAAAAGUUCGGUUUCAUCAUUACGCCAAAAACUUAUCAGAGCCUGAUGUAAAAGUGCGAAAUAUGUACAACAAAUUGACCCUGUUACGUAAUCAAUGAAUAUUUUCAGUUUAUUAUUUUUGUUUUUUUUUAUAGUCAUUUAAACAAAGUUUCUUUCUAUUAA